RNAcentral lists this ribosomal RNA (517 nucleotides) under Salmonella enterica. RNAcentral's name for it is "bacterial SSU rRNA". It matches the Rfam family "Bacterial small subunit ribosomal RNA", at positions 269 to 778 of the family's 1533-position model. RNAcentral also lists the same sequence under 1 other name. The record is from RNAcentral. Lineage: Bacteria; Pseudomonadati; Pseudomonadota; Gammaproteobacteria; Enterobacterales; Enterobacteriaceae.
CAAGGCGACGAUCCCUAGCUGGUCUGAGAGGAUGACCAGCCACACUGGAACUGAGACACGGUCCAGACUCCUACGGGAGGCAGCAGUGGGGAAUAUUGCACAAUGGGCGCAAGCCUGAUGCAGCCAUGCCGCGUGUAUGAAGAAGGCCUUCGGGUUGUAAAGUACUUUCAGCGGGGAGGAAGGUGUUGUGGUUAAUAACCGCAGCAAUUGACGUUACCCGCAGAAGAAGCACCGGCUAACUCCGUGCCAGCAGCCGCGGUAAUACGGAGGGUGCAAGCGUUAAUCGGAAUUACUGGGCGUAAAGCGCACGCAGGCGGUCUGUCAAGUCGGAUGUGAAAUCCCCGGGCUCAACCUGGGAACUGCAUUCGAAACUGGCAGGCUUGAGUCUUGUAGAGGGGGGUAGAAUUCCAGGUGUAGCGGUGAAAUGCGUAGAGAUCUGGAGGAAUACCGGUGGCGAAGGCGGCCCCCUGGACAAAGACUGACGCUCAGGUGCGAAAGCGUGGGGAGCAAACAGGAU